AGGCAUACAUGCAGGAUUAUGCAAUGCACAAUUUCAAGUAAACUUGAUACUGGCCUAUCAGGAACAAAUUAAAACUAAAACUUGUAAUCCCAUACAACAUGGUUUGCAUACAUAACUUCACACUAUUUGCAUGCAAGUGCAGCAGCAGACAUAAUUAAGACCUAACAAUUUUCAUCACUUUAAAAACAUCGUCAUGAAAAUAUUAUUUAGAAUAAUCCAGUAGAAUAAUACUCAUAUUUCUAAUCUAGAUAGUUAAACAUCAUGAUUGUCAAAUUUUGAUAUUGUGGAUUCUAGAAUGUCAAAUUUAAAAGGACAUAUGAUAUUAGAAAUUAGAAAGUCCAUCAGUCCAUGACUGCUGCUGGGUCAAGCCCCACAUUAUUUUACAGGCUGAAUAUGAGAAACUACAUAAAGCCCCAGCUUAUAUGUAACAUCAGAUCAACUUAUAUAGAAUUAAAACCAAUCUGAAUAACCAGCUUGCCUUGGCACAAGGCAUAAGAAAAACAAAAGAAUAACCAGCCAACCUUGGUCCAAAAGAAAAACAGAAUAACCAACAGACCAUGCAAGUGUUAAUCAUCCAUGCUCUUCAAAUAGCUGGUCUACUUAGCCAGUGAAACCAUUUACUCAGCUGACUGUUCUGAAAAUUAAUGCCUUUAUUCCCAAAACCCAGAGUAUAUUAAGGCUGUGUUUGAUACUUGGGGUUGGGAACCCAACUCCACCGCACGGAAAACGGAGCGAUCCAUUAGCGUGUGAUUAAUUAAGUAUUAGUUAAUUUUUUUUCAAAAAUGGAUUAAUUUGUUUUUUUAAAGCAACUUUCGUAUAGAAACUUUUUGUAAAAAACACACCAUUUAGCAGUUUGAAAAGCGUGCACGCGGAAAACGAGGGAAAGGGGUUGGGAAACUUGUGGAAAGAACGCAGCCUAAGACAUAUUUGUAUCUGGAGGAUAUUGGACAAGGGGUCACCAAGAAACUAAAGGAGUUCAAUAAGUUUGGACAACUUUUGGAACUGGAAUUUGAAUAAGCAGCUGCAAUAUUUGUUAGUUAGAGUGCUACUAAAGCAACAUAUUAUGGAGGAUUCUAGAGCACGCUAAAUAUUGCAAAUAAGAAAAUUUCCUGUAACUAGUAACUAGGAACAAGAUUCGGGAUGAAUCAAGCGACCCAGGAAUGGAAAUUAUUGGCAAAAACCAGCAAACCAAGAAUAGUUGCGAAGAGGUGCUAGCAUGAAUCUCUGCAUGACGCAAAGAGCAUGCCCUCACUUGUGAUGCACACCACACUCCCUUUCAGUCUAGAAGAGUGGCUUAGACAGAAGAUAGUCCAGCUCUUGCAUUCCUAGCACAGGAACCGCUACAACACAUAAGCCCUUUGCAUUCUCCACUUACAGGGGUCACAAGAGACCCUUCCAUCCUAGGUAAACAAGGCACUUCCGUGUUGAUAGUAGCGUAAUUUGGAGGACUGUUCUUUCCUGCAUUUUUACCUCACAUAAACAGUGAGACGUCCUUAGGGAGGGUUCUAAAGUGAUGAAACGUGGAAGUUGGAUGAUCAACUUGAUUAACAUGGUAAAUUAAUAUUUUGAGAAAUAAACUGAACAAAUAGGUUAACCAAUGAAGUAAAAAAACAUUUUUUUGAAAAAUCGUAUUUUUAGAAGCAUGGAGAAAAUAAGAUGGGCCUUCUACCAAAGCCAGGAAAUAGACUAACAUUGCUUUGCCUUGUAGUUAGCAAAGAUGAAAAGGGAUUUUAUGGCAGAAAGGACAAAAAAAAACUGGAUGGCAGAACCG
This 1771-nucleotide long non-coding RNA is filed under the name Oryza sativa (Asian cultivated rice). RNAcentral describes it as "long non-coding RNA (OSAT_LNC000140)". Lineage: Eukaryota; Viridiplantae; Streptophyta; Magnoliopsida; Poales; Poaceae. The record is from RNAcentral.